Silurus meridionalis is the source of this 1229-nucleotide long non-coding RNA. RefSeq lists it as uncharacterized. The record is from RefSeq and is a predicted model, not a curated record. The transcript has 3 exons. Lineage: Eukaryota; Metazoa; Chordata; Actinopteri; Siluriformes; Siluridae.
CAAAAUCACUUAUUCAUUUUAAUUUGUGUAAUGACACAUGUACUUGUGAUUUUAGACCCAGUGAGAUUCAUUGUAAUGUACAAACAUGAACGAAACUCCCCAAUUUCGCUGUAACAUAAGGCAGCAGCUAUACAGGGAAACCAGAAUUAAUGUUGCUUUUAAGGGCAAGUUGACAUCAAUCCAAAUGUAUAACACAAUUCACUGCUAAUCUGAAGCCGUUCCUGCGAAUACAGGUAUGAGCUGGGAAUACAUACUCGAAGGGACACCACUCUGUAACACUUAAUCAAUCCAAUUCAUAUAUUGUUUUUUUUUUUUUUGAUAGAUGGAGAAAACCAAAGAACCCAGAGGAAAUGGACAUGGACAAAAGAAGGAACUCAGCACAGGGAUUAAGCUGAUCUUUUUUCAGACUAAAUUAGGGAUGUUAGUGUACAUGAUAACUACUCAUAGGGUUGUGGAAUUUAUUAUGACCAAAUACACACUUAGGAAAUGUGUCAGAUAAAUCUAGUGUUGUAAAGGAUAAAAAGAAUAUAUUAAAACAUACUUAACCUGCAUGAUUUAACUGUUAAGAUCACCUUCAGAAUUAAGCCUGUCUGGUAUAUUUCUUCCUCUGACAAUAUAUAUUAUGCUAGUUGUUUGUAUUCCACUCCACUUCACGUGCGUCUACCAAAGCGAUUGGUCAUUUCACUGUAAAAGAAGGAUACAGCAAUAUGAGAACUGGUUGUCCGAUAGCACUGUGUCAGCAGAUAUGCAAAAGGAGCUCCUUGCCGGGCAUUUGGCAGCAGAGAGGUACUGCGGCAGCACGUGGGACGAGUGAUGCUUUUCACCCAGCUGCAAAUCUGAAACCAGGAAAUAGUGCUUUUUUUACAGCACAAAGCAUGAUGUAGCCAAAUGAGGGAUUUACUGCAUGCUGGAGUCAGAAUAGAGGACGAGGUGGCUAUGGAGCCUCUGAGCAUCUCUGUGGUGUUGAUUUUUCUCAGCAGUUUCCUCCUCUCUCAGUGGAUCUUUCACAUUGCAUGUCCAUGGAUGUCUGAGCGCCUCAUUCCAGCUUUUCUCACAUUUACACACAGGCAGAAGACAGAGUGGAGCUCUAGGGCUGUCUCCACUGUACAUGCUUUGGUGGUGGGAUUUUUUUGUCUCUACAUAUUAAUUUUUGAUGAAGCUGUCAAGAAAGACACCAUUUGGUAAGAGUUUGAUUGUGAAAUAAUGUAUGUUGUAUUAUAAAUUGUAAA